This is a long non-coding RNA of Herpailurus yagouaroundi (jaguarundi), 4007 nucleotides long. RefSeq lists it as uncharacterized. Lineage: Eukaryota; Metazoa; Chordata; Mammalia; Carnivora; Felidae. The record is from RefSeq and is a predicted model, not a curated record. The transcript is spliced from 3 exons.
UCGCUCAUUCUGUGUCUCUCUCUGUCUCUCCAAAAUGAAUAAACGUUAAAACAAACAAAGAAAACCAAGAGUCACUUAUGAAGUGAACACUUACAAGCCAGACUUGAAUUUACAUUCACUUUCAUCAAGUUUCAAAAGGUAAAUGUUUCAGAGAGAACAUUUCAACAGCGGUGAAAGAUGAAUAGAAAGAAAACGAAUGAUUUCACAUUCAAGCGCUUGGCUUGGCAUUUUGAAGAAAGGGAUGGAGGUAAUGAUGUCAUUGGACGAAGUUCGUGAUAAUAGGUUUUUAGAACAAUUAAGUGUAGAAUACGUUCUCUCUUUUUUAAGUUUAUUUUGAGAAAGAGAGAGAAAGCGCGUGGGCACGAGUGGGGGAGGGGCAGAGAGAGAAAGAGGAUCCCAAGGGGGCUCCGCACUGUCUGUGUAAAGCCUACCUCAAGGCUGGAUCUCACAACCUUGAGAUCAUGACCUGAGCUAAAAUCAAGAGCCCGACACUUAACUGACUGAGCCACCCAGGCGCUCCAAGUAUAGAUUACUUUCUGACCAUACAGUUAUUAGGAAGUGGCAUUGCAUUUCUUUUCAUUAUUUUACAUACUUCCUUCUGCUAGUUGCGUUUCUGGUGAUCAGCACGUAUCUCAAAGCGGGUAGCAUUUAUCAAGUACUGUUCCAGCUGCUCCACUGCACUGGGUCCUGAGAGAUAGUUACAGAGGGAGGCACCAAUAAAACCCUUUUUCUGGAGGCAUUUAACCCUUAAUGACAGGAAAAUGAACCUAUCUGUGUGUAUUAAAAGCAACUUGUGAAAUAUGAAGUAAUGUCACGAAGGGGAAAUAAAGUUUAGAAAUGCACUUAUUAUAAUUCAGUUUAUAUUUUGAUUACAUAUGUAAUGGCAGGAUGUCUUGGAUAUGGACGAGAGGGAACGAGAUUGGCCGCAUGUUGGUCAGUGUUGAAACUGAGGUUCGUUACAUUCUUCUCUCUAGUUUUGUGUAUUGUUUGAAAAUCUCUUAAUCCAAACUUUAAAACAAAGAACUGAGCUCCAAUUUUGCGAUUAACUGGCUGCUUGAGGGUGAGAACAUUAUAUAUAAGUGAGAACAUUCUCUCUUCUAUGUUCACAAUCUAGUCAUCUCCUGCCUCCUUUUCAUGCGUCUUCCAAAUAAAAUCUUUCUUCAGUCAAUAACCUUGAAUUCCAUUACUCUAGGCCUUUAUCAACGAAAAUAUAAUCCUAAUACAGUAUUAUUACAAAACUUUAAACACAUAUUUUAUUUAUCAUCUUCAGAUAGUCAAAGCUGUUACAGCCAGCUCGGAGCACACUUCCAAACUCAGUGCUGAUGAACCAGAUCCAGGAAUCAUGCCUUUCUACUUGCUCGUGGGCUCAUUUCACAGCGAGCUUUAGGAGUAAUUGACUAAGGACACAUAGUUCGUUUACUGGGCAUGUCUUCUCAGACCACAUAAUCUUAGGCCAUUACAAUAUCACUUACAGCUUCUGCUGUUUUUGAACAAGGCUGCAAGAAGCAUUUUCAGGAAUUUGUGAGAAAUGAAGGCAUUGUAUGACCUAGUGUUUAGAGUAAAAGCCAGUACUAGAAAAACUGUUACUUUCCCGGAAGGAAUUGACCUACUACCUCCUCUUGGAUUCUAAUUAUCUAAAUGACUGAUUUCCCCUUUUUACCUUGACUAUCAAGAAGGCAAAGUCCAAUUAAGAAGUCACUUUCCAAUUAUGAAAACAAUAAAUAUUACAUGCCCAUGAUAGAAAAGUUGUAAAAUACCCAAGGAGCAAAAACAAGGAAAAGAGAGACAUAAAAAAAUUAACCCAUGAUCCCGUCAUCCAGAAAAGCCACUGUUAAUGUUUUCUGUAAGAGACAAAUAUGAGACUCAGUUAAUGGAAUUAAAUUUACCAUUAGGGUUGAUAUGAGUGCUUACCUUUUACUUGGUUCUGAUUUUCUCAAUUUCCUACCUUUUAAGUAUAUGCAUGUUGAAACUGUUUCAAGCCAUUUGGGGGAAGAAGAGGUGCCAACAAAAAUUUAUCCUUAAACUAAUAUAGUGGCAAUAUGAGGCAACUAUUGUCAAGUUUGGGUCUCCUGAUACAAUACCUGCUUACUAUGGGAUUAUGAGGAUUAUAUCAAGUGAGUCACCGGUUACACAUUGAAAAUUCCAAAGUACUAUAAAACAAUGAUAAUAAAACGAGCUAACACUAUUUGAGUUCUUUGCUAUGUUUCCCGGCACAACAACCCUACAAAAUGGUACUGUUUUAGCAUUUCAGUCUUUGGUGUUAUUAAAUAGUUCACUUCACUCUUUUGUAGAGUAAUGAGGUAUAAACCUUAAUCCCUAUAACCUCAGAAUGUUAUCUUCUCUGAAAAUAAGUCUGUGCAGAUGUAAUUUAAAAUAAUGACAUUGAGAUGAAAUCAUCCUGGAUUUCCACAGGAUGCCCUAAGUCCAAUGAAAAGUGUCUUUAUAAGACACACCUCAGAGGAAAAGUAAUGUGACCAUGGAAGAAAAGAUUUGAGUGCUGUGACAUCAAGCCAAGGAAGGCCUGGAGCCACCAAAAACUAGACAAGGCAAAUGACCAAUUGCCCAUAGAGCCUUCAGAGGGGGAAAUUUCAGAUAACUUGUUGAGAUCCUCCUGUGACCAGGUGAUUAUAUGGACACGAUCAACUUCUGGGGGCUAAUGAAGACAGACAAACACAUGGCAGCUGAGAUCAAUGAGACAAAAGUCACUCCUCUUUUUUAGUAGCAGAGCUGGGAUACAAACCCAGUCUCUACCUGUUGUUCUGGACCGAAGGCAAUUUUGACCGUCAACCCCAAACCCUAGGAGACACAUGGAAAUGUUUGAAGACAUGUAUGGUUGUCACAGCUGGAUGCUCAAUGCUAUUAACAUUUACCAGAUAGAAGCCGGGAUUUCUGCCAAAUAUUCUACGAUGCACAAGACAGCCCUCCGCAGCCAAACAUUGUCCAGUCCCCACUGUCAAUAGUGCCGAGGUUGAGAAGCUCUGCGUAACGUGACCAGGAUCCUCAAUACAUUGAUUCUUCCAUGGCUUAUGGUUUGAAUUGUUUCUUUGUAAAAAGGGCAUAUUGAAAUCCUAACCUCCGGUUCCUCAGAAUGUGAACUUGUUUGGAGAUAAAGUCAUUGCAGGUAUAAUUAGUUAAGAGGGGGUCAUGCCGGAGCAGGAUGGGCCUGUAAUCUAAUGACUGGUAUUCUUAUAAAGAGAAUGCCAUGCGUGGAUAGAUACAGAAACACAGGGAGAAUUCCACGUGAGGAUGGAAUGAUACACCUAGAAGUCAUUGAGUGCCAAAGAUGGCCGGGAAACCAGCAGAAAUUAGGAAGAGUCAAGGAAGGAUCCUUCCCUAAAGGUGUCAGAGACAGCAUGACUCUGCUGACACCUUGAUUUUGGACUUUGAGACUUCAGAACUGUGAUACAAAUAAGCAGCCCAGUUUGUGAUACUUUGUUAUGGCAGUCCUAGGAGGCUAAUACUUAUGCUUUCACUGAACUGUACUCCAUUAAUAUCCUCACUUGCUGCCUUGCCCAGUUGAAAUAAUGGUGAUCGCUAAAGCAAUGGAAUAUACGAUCUUGCACAACUAUAUUUAUUUCAAUCAGGAAGUAAAGAGAUUGAAAUCUGGGUAUAUGUUCCAGUAUUUAUCUAUCCAAAUUGAGUAAUAAAAUGUUGCAGGCAGGUAUGAUAAGAAGUUUGGGUAAGGAUGAAACUGAAAAGAAGUCGAGGACUUAUAUGAUUCACUAAAUUGAUAUACCAGUGGGUUCUCCAUUGACAUAGCAGAACUCUUGAAAAGGGCCUUACCCUGUACACCUGAGCUGACUCUUCUUGGGGUAUGCUUUGUACUGGUUCACAUAAUCCAGGUUUUAAUUCCUUGAGCAAAGACCAAGAACCUCAAAUCCACAGCAUUGGUGUCAAAUCUCUGGCCAAGAACUCCAAGUGUAUAAUCUCAGCUAUUGUGCUGGGUCUGAAAUAGUGAUUUUCUUUUACUUUGUUGAUUAAAUGAUUUUGCAAAUCUGAGACUGUAC